UACAGAGGGUGCAAGCGUUGUUCGGAAUUAUUGGGCGUAAAGGGCGCGUAGGCGGUGCCACAAGUCACCUGUGAAAUCUCCGGGCUUAACUCGGAGCCUGCAGGCGAAACUGUGGUGCUGGAGUGUGGGAGAGGUGCGUGGAAUUCCCGGUGUAGCGGUGAAAUGCGUAGAUAUUGGGAGGAACACCAGUGGCGAAGGCGGCUACCUGGACCGGUUCUGACGCUGAUGCGCGAAAGCGUGGGUAGCAAACAGG
RNAcentral lists this ribosomal RNA (253 nucleotides) under uncultured bacterium. Its description in RNAcentral is "partial 16S ribosomal RNA". It matches the Rfam family "Bacterial small subunit ribosomal RNA", at positions 524 to 776 of the family's 1533-position model. The record is from RNAcentral.